RNAcentral lists this ribosomal RNA (468 nucleotides) under uncultured bacterium. Its description in RNAcentral is "partial 16S ribosomal RNA". It matches the Rfam family "Bacterial small subunit ribosomal RNA", at positions 28 to 507 of the family's 1533-position model. The record is from RNAcentral.
GACGAACGCUGGCGGCGUGCUUAACACAUGCAAGUCGAACGGAAGGGCCCUGCUUUUGUGUGGUGCUCGAUUGGCGAACGGGUGAGUAACACGCGAGUAACCUGCCCUUGACUUUGUGAUAACUUCAGGAAACUGGGGCUAAUACCGGAUAUGAGCUCCUGCUGCAUGUGGGUGGUUGGAAAGUUUCGGCGGUUGUGGCUGGACUCGCGGCUUAUCAGCUUGUUGGUGUGGUAGUGGCUUACCAAGGCUUUGACGGGUAGCCGGCAUGAGAGGGUGACCGGGCACAUUGGGACUGCGAUACGGAGCAGAAUCCUACGGGAGGCAGCAGUGGGGAAUAUUGCACAAUGGGGGGAAGUCUGAUGCAGCAACGCCGCGUGCGGGAUGACGGCCUUCGGGUUGUAAACCGAUUUCGACUGUGAUGAAGCGUGAGUGACGGUAAUGGGUAAAGAAGCACCGGCUAACUACGUG